Oncorhynchus tshawytscha (Chinook salmon) is the source of this 2061-nucleotide long non-coding RNA. RefSeq lists it as uncharacterized. The record is from RefSeq and is a predicted model, not a curated record. Lineage: Eukaryota; Metazoa; Chordata; Actinopteri; Salmoniformes; Salmonidae. The transcript has 3 exons.
GUACAGCCGAAACAGAAGAAACCAAACCGACUGGUACCCAGGCUAGGGUUGUACAGCCGAAACAGAAGAAACCAAACCGACUGGUACCCAGGCUAGGGUUGUACAGCCGAAACAGAAGAAACCAAACCGACUGGUACCCAGGCUAGGGUUGUACAGCCGAAACAGAAGAAACCAAACCUUAUUUGGAAUGAUAUUCACAUUGCUCAUGGUGGGAUAGGAGUUGUUUUUCUCAAAAUUAUAUUAUUUAUUUCAAUAAAAUCUGUGAAGUGAAAUAAGUUGAAGACUUCAAUAAAUGACGUUGUACAGUAUAAUGAUAGGUAUUUAAUGUGUAUUUCCUACUGAGGAGGUCUAUCCUAUACAGUAUAAUGAUAGGUAUUUAAUGUGUAUUUCCUACUGAGGAGGUCUAUCCUAUACAGUAUAAUGAUAGGUAUUUAAUGUGUAUUUCCUACUGAGGAGGUCUAUCCUAUACAGUAUAAUGAUAGGUAUUUAAUGUGUAUUUCCUACUGAGGAGGUCUAUCCUAUACAGUAUAAUGAUAGGUAUUUAAUGUGUAUUUCCUACUGAGGAGGUCUAUUCUCUACAGUAUAAUGCUAGGUAUUUAAUGUGUAUUUCCUACUGAGGAGGUCUAUUCUAUACAGUAUAAUGAUAGGUAUUUAAUGUGUAUUUCCUACUGAGGAGGUCUAUCCUAUACAGUAUAAUGAUAGGUAUUUAAUGUGUAUUUCCUACUGAGGAGGUCUAUCCUAUACAGUAUAAUGAUAGCUAUUCUAAUGUGUGUCUUGUGUCACAAUGCCAUCAUCCAAUAGCUGAAGACAUGGGCGGACCUAAACCAUCCAUCCACUCUGCCACUAAAUUGAACCACUCCACAAUAAACUGCAAAUGCAUCCCUCACUCUCUCUCUCUCUCUCUCUCUCUCUCUCUCUCUCUUCUCUCUUCAAUGUCUGUCAUAUUCCACUUAUACGCAUCAUAAUGCCGGCAGCAGGAUUUAAUUAUUGGAUAGAAAAUACAUUGGGACUCUGUUAGAACAGACUGGAGUUAUUCCCAACCUGUCCUUCAAUCUGGGACAUUAGAACAGACUGGAGUUAUUCCCAACCUGUCCUUCAAUCUGGGACAUUAAAACGGACUGGAGUUAUCCUCAACCUGUCAUUCAAUCUGGGACAUUAGAACGGACUGGAGUUAUCCUCAACCUGUCCUUCAAUCUGGGACAUUAGAACGGACUGGAGUUAUUCCCAACCUGUCCUUCAAUCUGGGACAUUAGAACGGACUGGAGUUAUUCCCAACCUGUCCUUCAAUCUGGGACAUUAGAACGGACUGGAGUUAUUCCCAACCUGUCCUUCAAUCUGGGACAUUAGAACGGACUGGAGUUAUUCCCAACCUGUCCUUCGAUCUGAACUGGGACGUUAGGGAUUAGAGAGAUGCGAGGAGACAGUGUUCUUUUCAGUGUUAUUGACAUGGAAAACAAAAUAGUUUUGUGAAAACCUCGUGUUGUGAUAUUGAUGUUUGCCGGCAGCGUGUGAUGGGGAGGUCCGUCUGCUGGUCCUGGUUAGGAGUGUUGGUUGUCAACCUGAGUCCCAGCUGCUCUGCUGUCGUCCUGGACUCCGCAGCGUGUGAUGGGGAGGUCCGUCUGCUGGUUCUGGUUAGGAGUGUUGGUUGUCAACCUGAGUCCCAGCUGCUCUGCUGUCGUCCUGGACUCCGUCUAUUGGAAUUCUUCAAAUCCCAAGUCGGUACAGUCGAUUCUUGUGCAAAAACUCACCUGGAAAUAUACUGGAAAUAAAUACCUGUUAUAUUGUCAAAAUGUUGGCUUUUCAUUUACAUUAUCGACAUAGAUUAAAUAUGGAUAUUUUUGAAGUAGUGUUUCUGUGGUCUCAGAUUUUUGUUGUUGAUAGUAAAUUCAUUGGCGUGUUUAUUUAUUGAUGAUUAUUAAUUAGUAAAUAAUAUGAAUGUCUAUUAGGCUGAUAUGCAACAACAAAGAAACUACUAGUGUUACUAUGACACAAUAAAGACAACAUCCCAGUCAUUCUGGUUGGAAAACUCUCAUCUCCCUCUCUCUCUGUCUCUCUCUGUCU